Jatropha curcas is the source of this 1416-nucleotide non-coding RNA. Lineage: Eukaryota; Viridiplantae; Streptophyta; Magnoliopsida; Malpighiales; Euphorbiaceae. The record is from RefSeq and is a predicted model, not a curated record.
AGUAUCACCCGACAUCCUGCCUCCUUGGUUUACUGCUUUUUUUUUCUUUUUCUCCUUGUAAAGUUAUAACUCAUGCAACGCAAGCAUGUCGUGUUAGUCUGCUGCAUGGCUAUCCAUUCAUUCCCACAUCAUCACUAUAAAGAAACGAGCAACCUCAAAAAGAAAUACUCCAUUUUUUGUAUUUUGUGCUUUUGUUGUAUACCAGUAGUUCUAUAAUGUUUUUGAUGUUUAGCCUUGUAAUAAACUCAUUUUGUAUUAGCUUUAUGCCAAUUCAUGCGAGCCUAACUCUUUAUCUCUCUGGUAUAUAUAUAUAUAUAUAUAUAUAUACAGACAUGUAGAGAGAAAAUGAGGCUGAUGUGGAUAUGAUAUGGCAAGGACAUGCCUUUCCUCGAACAAUCGUAAGCAAUGAAGAUUUUUCAAACUUGUUGUUUGGUAUUCUCUUCCUAUAGACAACAGAACUUAACGAACAUGGUUUUUUGCUGACACGAGCAAAUGCAAGAAAUGUGUGGCCAACUGCCUAGUCACUUCCACCUCCUCACCAUGGAUAAAAAAAGAUUUCAUUCUAUACAAGCAAAAAGGACUAGCAGUCCAAUUUUGAAGCAAUUGGUUGAGACCACGUGCAUCUUUAUUAAUCUGUAAGAGCCUUUUCUUAUCCCUAUCCCAUUGUAAAUGGACCUUUCACAAUUUAAGAAAAAAGUAGCCGUCCCAUGUUGAUUGGUCUUGCAAAUGACUUUGUUCUGUAUUUUGAACAAUUUGAAAUGAAAAAGAGGCUUCAAACUUUUUAAAAGAACUUUUCCAAAAGCAACCUCAACUGUCAAUUGACGAGUCUGUCUCUCUCUCUUUAUUGUUGUCAAUGGGGCCUUAGCUGACUCAAGCCAUAGAAAUUGAAAAGGUGACAUAACCCUUCUUGAAAUACAAUUACAAGCAUAAAUAGCAUAAGAUUUCUCUGAGUUUUCUUCCUCUCUCUCUCAACUCUUCAACAUAUAGAUUACAACAGUGACAGUCUUGAGUAGAAUGAACAAGUUUGGGAAGAAAGCUGAGAAUUUUGCACAAGUUGUUCGAGAGCAUGUGAAGUUGGGGCCACAUGUAAGCGAAAGGUUAAUCUGGGAGAUAAAAUUCUACAAGUUGGUGCUGUGCAGAAAAUUUUCAGGCAGUUGUUUAGAGUUAAAGAAGAAGAGAAAUUGUUGAACCCUGUUUUAUCAGGAAAUGCUGUACAUUUGUACUGAUGAGGAAAGAUUCAAACUUCGCAGACACAUUUACUAUGUAUAUAAUUUUUCCAAUAGUCAUUCACUGAUAGCUUAUCAGUCAGAAUUGUGUGCUCUUUUCCCUGCCUGAUUUUCCCAUCUUCCUUGUUGCAAUGAGAAAAUUCAGGAAAUGUCAGCAAGAACAAUAAAAAACUUAUUUCAAUUAACAGAU